GUUUUAAUAGUUUAAUAAAAACUUUGGUCUUGUAAAUCAAAAAUAAGAAUUCAUUCUUUUAAAACU
This 66-nucleotide transfer RNA is filed under the name Conosia irrorata. RNAcentral's name for it is "tRNA-Thr". It matches the Rfam family "tRNA". Rfam says of the family: Transfer RNA (tRNA) molecules are approximately 80 nucleotides in length. Their secondary structure includes four short double-helical elements and three loops (D, anti-codon, and T loops). Further hydrogen bonds mediate the characteristic L-shaped molecular structure. tRNAs have two regions of fundamental functional importance: the anti-codon, which is responsible for specific mRNA codon recognition, and the 3' end, to which the tRNAs corresponding amino acid is attached (by aminoacyl-tRNA synthetases). tRNAs cope with the degeneracy of the genetic code in two manners: having more than one tRNA (with a specific anti-codon) for a particular amino acid; and 'wobble' base-pairing, i.e. permitting non-standard base-pairing at the 3rd anti-codon position. RNAcentral also lists the same sequence under 1 other name. The record is from RNAcentral. Lineage: Eukaryota; Metazoa; Arthropoda; Insecta; Diptera; Limoniidae.